GUCCCUGUAGCGCUAUGGAUAGCCUGUUGAACUUCUAAUUCAAAGGUCGUGGGUUCGAAUCCCACCUGGGUUG
Molecule: transfer RNA, 73 nt
Filed under: Trichonephila clavata
Lineage: Eukaryota; Metazoa; Arthropoda; Arachnida; Araneae; Nephilidae
Rfam family: tRNA
About the family: Transfer RNA (tRNA) molecules are approximately 80 nucleotides in length. Their secondary structure includes four short double-helical elements and three loops (D, anti-codon, and T loops).
Source: Rfam by way of RNAcentral